CCUCCCCUCUCUACUUCCUGUUUCUUCCUUCACCAACCUAAUGGAGGUUUUCUUCACAGAUGGGAGGGAAGAAAGGAGACAGAGUUGAAGGACCACUGGACUGGCUUACCAAUUGACUGGACUAUUUUUAAUACACAGCCUCAGAGGAUUCUGACAGGGCAGCAUAAGAAACUGAGAGCCCUCUUCCUUUCUGGUGAAGACUUAGACAUGAUCGAACUUUGAAUGUUCCUGAGGGGAAAUUUUCAGGAGGAGGAAGGACUGAUGGAGAAGACUCUCUGCAUAAACCCAGAUAAAUUAUGACACACUAAGAGACUUUCUUGUUCAUAAUAACAUAAACCUAUAAUACCAUUAGAUUAUAUUAUUAUAAACAAGAAAAUCACCGAAGAGCAACAAGUUCUAGAGCUCUUCCUUUAUUGUUACAAUGAGGGGAGAACCAAAUCCAAUCUUCACAGUAAUUGUCAUUAAGUGACUUGCCCAGGGUGACACAGCUAGGAAACAGAUGAGGUUGAAUUUGAUCUCAUUUGAUUUGAAUCCUGACUCCAGGUCUGGCAUUCUAUCUUAUCUACUGUGCUAUCUGGCUGUUCCAUGCUCUAUAAUUUUAAAGAUGAGGAAACAUGGGCCCGUAGUUGCCCAAAUUUUGUGACUUUCCCAGGGCCAAAUGAGUAGGAAUUAGCAGAACCAGGACUCAGGUCCAAAAGUACCCAGUAGGAUCACUCCCAAAUUUUUAAUGAGGCUCCUGGCUUGACUUGCUUUAAGGAAAAAUAAGGCUUCUUGGGAGCCAUCAUCUUGGUAAUGUUCACUGAACUCGCUUCUCCCUCCUGGUAAUCAAGGACGCCACGUGAGACAUCCAGAAUAAAAGGAUCCUAGAUCUAUAGCUGAAAGGGAACUCAGAAACCAGCUAGUCCAGGGGUCCAAAAACUAUGACCUAUGGACAAAUCCAGCCUGCCACUUAUUUUUAUUCAUCCCCUGAGCUAAGAAUGUUAUUUACUUUUGUAAAUGUAGUUUUAUCGUAUUUUUAAAUACAAACACCAUUCUUAGCUCACAAGCACCAAAAAAUCAAAAUAGAACAGGUGACAAGACUGGUUUGGCCCUGGAGGCAUCAUUUGCUGGAUCCUGAUCUAGUCCUAACCUUUCAUUUUAUAUAUUAAGAAACUAAGGCCCAAAGUGGUUAGUUAAGUGACUUGCUUAUAUCACACAGGUAGAAAGCAGCAGAAGUGGGAUUUAAACUCGGGUUCUGUAGGUGGUGCUGUAGAGUAGAGCCCUAGGAUGGAGACAGAGACACCCAUCUUACCAAGUUCAAUUCCAGAGUCAGACAUUUACUAGCUGUGUGACUCUGGACAAGUCCUUUAACCCUGCCUGCCUCAGUUUCCUCAUCUGUAAAAUAAGAUGGAAAAGAAAAUGGCAAACUACUCCAAUAUCUUUGCUAAGAAAAUCUCCAAUGGGAUCAUGAAGAGUUGGAAUUGACUGAACAAUUCCCUGAAUUGAGUUAGCACUCUUUCUUUUGUACAUGCUGUCUAUCUAACCUCUAUUUCUUUGGUAGGAAAAAAUAAAACCCUUCCCAACUGCUCCACCAAGAGGAAGCUUAGGUGGGAAACCUACUUUCCCACCCCACCACCAUUCAUGUACAGUGAUACAUACUCUCUGGACACCAAAACAUGUUUUAUUAUCCUCUCAUUCAAAGGAAUUUAAGAAUAUUAGUUAUUAAUCUUCAACAAAAAUCAUGGGAGACUUCUUUUUUCAACAUGUUUCUUCUAAAUAAAACCAGUUCUGAUGCACAUUAGUGUGCAUGCCUUCAUUCUAUGCAUUAACAUAUCAGACCUUAAAAGUCAGCUAGUAUAUUUCUUAGUCAGAAUUUGAACCCAUGUUUUCUAUCACCAAUUCCUUGUGGUCUUUCCAUAAACUUUAGGUAAAAGCUCCUUCUCUCCAUUUGUUUAUUUCUUUUCAGUCAUGACCAAUGCUUCGUGUUCCCAUUUCAAGUUUUCUUGGCAAAGGAAACUUGAGUUGUUUGCCAUUUCCUUCUCCAGUUCAUUUUUCAGAUGAGGAAACUGAGACAGACAGUGUAAAGUGGCUUGCCCGGGUUCACAUAGCUAGUAAGUAUCUAAGGUCAGAUUUGAACUCAGAAAGAUGAGUCUUCCUGUCUCCAGGCUCAGCAUCCUAUCCCACUGACCCACAUAGCUUCCCUCCUAGCCUUUCCUAACCUUUCCCCUCCCCACAAGUUGAAUAGAUCUACUGAUGUCUCUAUUUCUUUAUGUCUUUCUUCUCUUUUACUUCUUAAAUGCAUGAAUUUCUUCCACCUUUGGACCUACUACAGGGACUAGCAAACAAAGUUGGGAUGUUCAAUGGCUAAGUCAAGCUUUCAAAGCAAUAAAUAGCUUCGACUCAUUGGUUACUACAGUCUUAUUUUGCAAUCUUAAAAAAUGAACUCGACAACAACUCAAAACACAUCGUUUGACAACAUGAUCAAAAUAUUUUGUCUGCUGAGCAGAGACUCUAUUUUCUUGUUCCUAAAGAAAACACAGAAUUGGAGUUAGAUCUGUAUUGAGUUAAAUGAAGAGAAACUGGAUAGUUAUCUGGAUAAAACCUUAGAUUUCUAAGGUCAAUGUGAAAAGCCAGCCAUGUGACUCAGCUCCCCGUGAAUCAGCGUUUAGAAGAAGUGAGGUAUAAUACCUACAUAGUCUUCUUGUUUGUUUUGACUUACAAGGAAAAUGUUUCUCAGAAAAUUUCCAAACCACUCCUACACCUGAAGACAAUUGGGCAAGAACACCUGAUAGAAUCAAUUCAGCUCAUGUCACCCACCAAUUUUGUAGUUGUCUUCUGUUUUCAGAAAAGAAUAUGGAGUUUAACUUUAAUAAUUUGGUAUCAAAAGUGUCUCGUGCAAUUGACUUGGUUUUUAGUAGAUGUUUUGUCUUCAUCUGCUCUCUACCUCCAUUUCAUGAGGGGUCCAGACCAUGCUCACUUCAUUCUCAACUCCACCAGUUCUGCUCUCUUUCUGGAUUUUCCUACCAUCUUGCCAUUCACUCUCUUACCCCAACUUGCCAGGCACCAAUCUCACCCCCAGUCCUACCCUAACGCCACCCUCUUCUAACUAUUUUACAGAUUUUAUUUUUCCCCAAUAACAUUGUCAACUCUUUGAGACUCUUUUUCUUGUAUCUGCAUUCCCAGAACUUAGCAGAGCACUCAGCAUAUAGUAAGAACUUAAUAAAUUCUUUUUAAAGCUACCAAGAAAAAUAAUUUUUUGGUUUUGUUUCUUUGCUCUGCUUCACUUCAGACAAGUCUUUCUUUAUCUCUGGAUCUUUCAUAUUUGUUGUUUCUUGGGCAUAAUAUCAUUUCAUUAGAUUGGCAUGGUAGAAAAAGUUCUAGAUUAAAAGUUAAAUAAUCUAGGAUUAAAUUCCAUUUUCUGAGUAUUUGCUACAUAAGUUUCUUUGAAUUUUAACUAUUAGAAAUAAUAAUGUUUCAAAUAUUUUUGGAAAAGCAGGAUCUUUUUGUUAACAUUGAUUUCCUGUGUUAUAAACUCAGAAGCACACCCAGGAAACAAAGGAUUCAAACAAUUUACUAACUUUUCUUGCAUGAUUCCAAAUUUUUUUUUCCAGAAUGGCUAGAACAUCAUAUCAUAAGCAAUGAAUUAGGUAUCAAUCUUCCCACAACCCUCACAACAUUCAAUUUUUUCCAUCUUUGACCAGCUUUGACAAUUUUAUAUUAGUAGGUAAUAUCUCAAAAUUGUUUUAAUCUUCAUUUCUCUGGUUAUUAGUGAUUUUGAAUAAUAUAUUCAAGGUAAUUGUUAUGAGUUGCAUUUUUACUUGUAGUUUAUAUCCUUUGACACUUAACUGUUGUGAAAUUGUUCAUAUUUUUGUAGAUUUAUAGUAAUUCUUUUUUUUUUAAACCCUUACCUUCCGUAUUAGAAUCAAUACUGUGUAUUGGCUCCAAGGCAGAAGAGUGGUAAGGGCUAAUCAAUGGGGAUUAAGUGACUUGCCCAGGGUCACACAGCUGGGAAGUAUGUGAGGUCAGAUUUGAACCUAGGACCUCCCGUCUCUAAGCCUGACUCUCAAUCCACUGAGCCACCCAGCUGCCUCCUAUAGUAAUUCUUUAGAAAUAUUUGAUAUCAAAUUUUUUCAGGGAUGUUUAUGGCAAAGAUUUUUUUCUGAUCUAUAUAUUUUCUCCUUAUUCUACCUACACUGAUAUUGGAAUUUUUUUGGAAUUUUUUAGUUCACUACCAGCAUGACCUAUUUUGUCUUUUAUAAUCUCUUUUAUCUGUCAUUGAUUAUAAAUUCUUCCCUGAUCUACAGCUAUGAGUAAUAUAAUACUCAAUGAUUUCUUAUCUUGGCAUGGAGAAGACCUCGGAUUGUUAAAGGCUAUGUCCAUGGAACACGAAUCCUGACCCUCCACAUACUAGCUGUAUAACCUCUACCUGUCUGAACCACAGUUUCCUCAUUUGUAAAAUAAAGUAGUUUGGAUGAGUUCUGCAGUUCUUUACAGCCCUAUAAUCUCAUAAUCUUCAAAUCUCCAAAUAUGGAACCAGUAAUAUUAUACCAAGACUUAAAGGGCAAAGAAAUUCAUUGCCAGUAGUAAAGAUUUUUUUUAAAGAUGAAGUAAAGAUUUUUUUCCAGUCAAAGCAAUUUACAAAAACCAAGGAAUGUUGAGGCUGAGGUCAUUCAUGGUUUGGAGAAUAUGUAGCUCUAUAGUUUGAGAUCUAACAAAAUACCACAAUGACAAUUCUUCUCUGAUUCCUAUUGCCUCUCUCCCUAUCUCCUACUUGACCUUACUGCAGUCCUAGAGCAGAAAUACUAUGGAAAAAAUAUCCUUUUUAAAUCCCCAAAAAAUAUUCCGCAGAGGGCCUGUCAAAGGUUCAAGAUUUCUCUGAAGCAGCUGGCCCGCCCUUGUGGAACACCUGAUCUGAAAAAUGUCGGAGGCUUGUAUUAGGUAGGUAUUGUUGUCUCUAGAGCCUCCCGGGUAAUUCUCCCUUGUUUUGAGGGUUCUUUGGCACUUCUUUCGGGUAUCUGACAUCUAAACAAUGUGUAAUCUGGUUUUCAGUAAGGCAAUUACCUGGCAAGUCUGAAUGAACUAUAAUGGAAUAAAUAGCACGUUACGACACAUUGUACAAAAUGCUGCACCUGAGUAAGCUAGCAUUCCGAAAUAAUUAUUAUCUGUAAUCACACGAACAUGCUGAAAUGAUGGCUUUAUUUGUGUGGAAGCUUAGGCCACCUGCUUUAGAACCUCACUGGAGAUACAUGCAGAGACUAUCUCAAAAGCGUGUAUAUUCGGGGGUUUGUUUGAUCCAUAGGCUCAGUUCAUCAAAGUGGGCACAUGAUUUAUCCUUUUCAAAUCAGUAAAAGACUCUGCCAAGGGAUCGCAGGCUCAGGAAUCUGCCUCCUUUAUUUGAAGUGACUUCUCCUGACUGGUUGGAAUUGAUCUGAAGUGUAAAUAUAGUUUUCAAACACACUAAGUUCUCUCAGACACUUACCAGCUGUGUGAUUCCUGACAAGUCCCUUAGCGCUAUUUGCCUCAGUUUCUCCUCUGUAAAAGAAGCUGGAGAAGGAAAUGGCCAACCACUCCAGUAUCUUUGCCAAGAGAACCACAGAUUGGGUCAUGAAGAGUCAGGCACAUUGGAAAAAUGACUGAACAACAAAAUUCUCUGGGGCAUUUCACCAAAAUUCUAUAUAAUCAUAGCUACACUAUAUAUGUUUAUAGGUAUCCGUGUGUAAAGGGGCUUAAAUCAAGUUGUUGUUCCCUCGUUUUUAGUUGUGUCCGGCUCUUAAUAAUCCCAUUUAAUGUCUUCUUGGCAGGGAUUUUGGAGGUGUGUGCCAUUUCCUUCUCCAGCUCAUUUUACAGAUGAGGAAACAGGGUGAAGUGGUAUGCCCAGGGUCACAAAGCCAGUAUGUCUCAGGUCAAAUUUAAGGUCAGGAAGAUUAGUCUUCCUACCUCUAGCCCUGGUGUUCUAACCAUUGCACCACCUAGCUGCCCUCAUAAAUACACAUCCCUAUUAGACUGUAUGAACAGUGAUGGGAAGUGAUGAUCUAGGUUCAUAUGUGUGUGAUUCUAAACAACUCACAUCUAUAGAUCACGUUGAUCUAUAAAGCACUGGGAGAAUUAAAAUUAAUAUAUAAUAACUCAAGUAUUACAUUUAUAAGAUUUAUUAAAAUAAAAACUAGAGUUAAAAGGGAGCUAACUAACUUAAGCCUCGGUCUCAAUGAAGAAGAGAAAGAGAUAGGAGCCCCAGAAAGUUAUAAGCAAUAGCAUAACAAGGCAAGCUUGAGGAUGAAGGGAAAGGGAUGCUGGGUAAUGAAAAGGCAUUCUGGGGAAUGUAGUCCAAAGGUAGAAAAUUUCCACUUAUACAGCACUUUCCUCACAAUAGCUUGAUGAUGAAUGAAGGGAAAGUAUUAUUAUAAUUGGCAUCUUAGAGCAUUUCCAAGUUUGCCAUGCAUUUGACAUAUAUUACCUUAUCUGGGCUUCAAAACAGCCUUGUAAGAGAGAUAAUACAGAUAUUAGUAUUCCCAUUUUACAAAUGCAGAAACUCCAGCUCAGAGAUAUUAAUUGACUUGUCUAAGAUCACUUAGGGUUAAAAAUAGGUUUUGAAAUAUCUUUCAGCUAGUUGACAUGGUGGAAAGAGUGCUAGAUCUGUUCUAGUCAGAAGGAUCUAGAUUCAAAUCCUGCCCCAAGUAAUUUACAAUCUAUAUUAUCCAGGGCAAGUCAUUAACUUAACCUCUGUUUGCCUCAGUUUCCCUAUCUAUAAAAUGGAAGUGCCCUUUGAGAUUUCUUACAACUUAAAAUGUAUGAUUCUAUGACAUAAGGAUUCCAUCUUUUCUCAUGGUGACAGCUAGAAUUGGAAAAGAUGGAGAGAAGAUGGUAGGUAGAUUCUAUAAAAAUUCCCUCAGUGAUUACCCUAAUUAUUUUUAUCUUUACAGUAUCAGAGGCAGCUUUUAGACUUAUACAUGCUAUUAUAUCUGCUUAAGUACAUGUAUAGCUUUAAGGGUUGCAAAACCCAACAAAUAGUAUCUUAUUUUAUCCUCACAACCCUAGGACGGAGUUAGUAUGUAUUUAUGUAGUUAGUAGUAUUAUCUCCAUUUUAUAGAUGAACAUGGGGCUCAGGAUACAAGGAUACCGCUUGUCUUUUUCCCUGUGCUUUCUUUCAAAGUACAUCAGGAAUUAGAGGUUUCUUUCUUCUCCCUCCCUUUUCUCUAGGAAUAUUUAAUAGCAUUUUUCAACAGAUGCACAGAGAAGUAGCAAGCACACAUGCCUACUCGGCACAACAAGAUCAUGUACAAUGUUCCUGAAGCCCAAACUCUUCUAUUGAGAGAUGAAUGGAAGCAGGAAAGCAUCAGGCAGCACGAUACCCAAAUCUAGCCUCCUGGCUCAGGAGAAAGGUUUACCUGCAAAGGUAAAGGUAAAGCAGCACCAACUUUGAGAAUCAUCUCAGAGGUAACCCCAAAUUGGAGAGCUUCCAAGUUUGAGCUAUUGUUUGUUCUUCAUUUUGGAAGAGGACCAAUAACAUCCUGGGGUGAUGUCUUGACUUACAUGCACCAGUCUUCUAGAAGGAGAAAAUUUCUCAAUAGUGUCCUUAGCCCAGUUAACUCGAAGAAGCUAAGAAUAUAACACGCUUCAAAAAAAAAAAAAGAAUUAGAUGGGACAGCUAAGUGACUAGAUGAACAGAAAACCAGGCCUGGAGACGAGAUGUCCUAGGUUCAAAUCUGACCUUACACCCUUCCUGGCUGUAUGACCCUGGGCAAGUCACUUAACCACGCACACCCCCACCCCUUGCCUAGCCCUUACUACUCUUCUGCCUUAGAACCAAUACUUAAUAUAGAUUGUUAAGAUGGAAGGUUUAAAAAAAGGAUUAGACAAAUUCAUUGGUGUUACAAAUCCAUUACAGUCCAUUAAAAUAGAGGUAAUGAUACUUGGGAUAAUCACCUUGGGAAAUUUUUAUAGAAUGCCACUAUUAUCUUCUCCCAUAAAGCUUUCUGACUGUCAUUAUGAGAAAAAGAUGGAAUUCUUAUAAUAUAUUUUAAUCUGGAAGAAAUAAAUUCCUUAUUCAUCAAUUGGGAUGGCUGAACAAGUUGAAAUAUAUGAUUAUAAUGGAAUGUUAUUGUGCUGUAAGAGAUGACAAACAGAAAGAUCACAAAAAAAAAAAAAAACCUGGAAAGAUAUGAAAUGAGACAAAGUGACAUAAGCCAAACCAGGAGAACACCGUACACAGUAAAAGCAAUAAUGCACAAUGAUCAACUGUGAGCGGCUUAAUUGUUAUCAGUAAUGCAAAGAUCCAGGGGAACUCCCAGGGACUCAUGACAAAGCAAGCUAUUCUCCACAACAGAAGGAACUGAUGGAAUCUGAAUGCAGAUUGAAACAUGCCACUUUUCAUUCUAUUCCCUUCGUGAGUAUUUUUCUUAUAUUAGCAAUAUGUAUCUCCUUUCAAACCAUGACAAACAUGGAAAUAUGUAUUGCAUGAUAGCACACGUUAAAUGUAUAUCAUGUUACCUGCCAUCCCAAGGAGGUGGGAAGGGAAAGUCUUGGAUAGAAAAAUGUCAGAAAACAAUUAUGAGACAUUUUAUUUAUAUGUAAUCUGGAAAAAAAUUAAAUAUCCUACUUUGCUACUCCCUCCAAAAAGAAAUUGAAGUUAAAAAGGAAAGAAAGAAGCAUCUCCUUUUAGGGUAAAAUAUAUCCUAUCCCAGAGAAGGGUCAAGACUGCCAGAAGAGAAAUGCCCUGAAAAUUAAGAAAUAAAGCCAGGUCAUGGUGGAAGCAAAGGUCUGGGCCUCACCAACACUGUUGUUUUUGUGAUACAGUACAGUUCUAAGAUGAAGGGAAGUCCUCAAGGUAUGUUUACCAUAUUAAGUCAUUCUAAAGCCCAUUUGAAUGUUCAUGGACUCUUGUGAAUCUUUUUUGUAUUAAAUGCAUUUUUUCCAUGAGGAUAAAAUAAAA
Monodelphis domestica (gray short-tailed opossum) is the source of this 8908-nucleotide long non-coding RNA. RefSeq lists it as uncharacterized. Lineage: Eukaryota; Metazoa; Chordata; Mammalia; Didelphimorphia; Didelphidae. The record is from RefSeq and is a predicted model, not a curated record.